CUGGAGUGAAGAGCUAGUACAGUAUCUGGCAUCAGAGUGGCUCCCUUCCAAAAAGAAGUGGGCGCAUUGCUACACGAACAAAGUGUUCCAUCUCAGCAACAUAAGGCUUGCUUGCACCACCUCGAUUAGCAAGGCUGACGGACUAUUCCGUGCAUACGAUCGACUAAUGACGAGUUAAGUGUUGAAGAUAAGAAAGUCGCUAAAAGACUCACGGAUGAAGGUACGUACGGUAGUUUCAAGUUUAGUGCAUGCAUUUUUCACAAGGUGUGUAUUAAUCGACAUUGUUUCAUGCAGUCAUUUUUCAUUUGGGACAAACAGUAUGGGAAGUUGAACAGGGAGGUGAGCUUGUGGGCGAUUGAGCUACUGGUUGAAGAUCGGGCGUUGGUGAGGUCAUGCACGUGUGGGAUCUGGAUUCGAAGGGGCUGUCAUGUAGAUGUGAAGUUCAGCGCUGUAUGGAAGAGGAUAUAUUGUUGUACAUGAGACACCUGCACCGGUUUUGGGCUACGUUGGACUACACGAACCUCCCGCACCUCCAACCCCCCCCCCCCCCCUCCCCUCGCGCCAACCGUGAUUAGUGAGAAGAUGAAGCCCGUGCUAAGCGAGAUGUUUAGCGAGAAACUUUUGAGGAGGUUGAGAGUUUAGGAGAAGCAUACGUUCGCGUUGGCAAGAACUCCUCCAGUCCCUGCUACACCUAGACGUAGAGGGUCUGCAGGACCCGAAGACAUCCGAUGCUCCCAAAGGCAGACCUCCUAGACGGCAAAAUACAAGGGAAACGUUAGGGUGGGAGAAGGUUAAAUCUACAACAUCACGUAGUAAGAAAACUGAUAAAUGUAAUGUGCGAUUUAAUUAUUUGUAAUGGUAAAUUAGCUAAUGACGUAAACUAACAGCGGGUUUUAUCCCAGUUAAAGCUAACAAAGGAUAAAAUCCACCGUUGAACUGUUUGUUCAGUAAUAAAAAAACGCAGAAAUCUAGUUAUGUUUUUACGUCAUCAUUCUUUAUCUACCAAUCAUUUUUUUCUUUUUCUUCUUCUUCUAUUCUUCUUUGAUUUUUCUUCUCAUUUAAUUCUUUUUCUUAUUCUUCGAUUCUUCUUUUUUUUUCUUCUUCGAUUCUUCUUCUUCUUUUUUUGAUUUUUUUUCUAUCCUUCUUCGAUUCCUUUUUUUUCUUUUUAAUUCUUUGAUUCUUCUUUUUCAAUUUUCUUUUUUUCUUUAUUGAUUCUUCUUUUUUUCAUCUUCAUUGAA
RNAcentral lists this long non-coding RNA (1238 nucleotides) under Linum usitatissimum (flax). RNAcentral's name for it is "long non-coding RNA (LUSI_LNC007298)". The record is from RNAcentral. Lineage: Eukaryota; Viridiplantae; Streptophyta; Magnoliopsida; Malpighiales; Linaceae.